RNAcentral lists this ribosomal RNA (427 nucleotides) under uncultured bacterium. RNAcentral's name for it is "partial 16S ribosomal RNA". It matches the Rfam family "Bacterial small subunit ribosomal RNA", at positions 355 to 774 of the family's 1533-position model. The record is from RNAcentral.
UGGGGAAUAUUGGACAAUGGGCGAAAGCCUGAUCCAGCCAUGCCGCGUGUGUGAAGAAGGUCUUCGGAUUGUAAAGCACUUUAAGUUGGGAGGAAGGGCAUUAACCUAAUACGUUAGUGUUUUGACGUUACCGACAGAAUAAGCACCGGCUAACUCUGUGCCAGCAGCCGCGGUAAUACAGAGGGUGCAAGCGUUAAUCGGAAUUACUGGGCGUAAAGCGCGCGUAGGUGGUUUGUUAAGGUGGAUGUGAAAUCCCCGGGCUCAACCUGGGAACUGCAUUCAAAACUGACUGACUAGAGUAUGGUAGAGGGUGGUGGAAUUUCCUGUGUAGCGGUGAAAUGCGUAGAUAUAGGAAGGAACACCAGUGGCGAAGGCGACCACCUGGACUAAUACUGGCACUGAGGUGCGAAAGCGUGGGGAGCAAACA